UGGUCAAAGCCAAAGACUCAAGGUGAACCCCACCCCUCCUCCGUUCCGCUUCUUUUCUCCCAAAUCCAUCUGUUGUGUUGUGCGUAAAACCUCUCUUUUUCUUUAAUCUGUUCUCUUUUCUCUCUCUCUCUCUCUCUCUCUCUCGCUCUCUCUCUCUCCCCCUGAUCACCUCCCUAUUUCUUGAACACUGUAGGAAAGGGGAGAGCAAGAACCCUCGUGUCCUCACAUUUCUCUUCUUGCAUCACCCUCUUCUUCUCCGAAAUCUCCUGAAGAGACUGAAGACAACGAAACCCUCUCUCUCUCUCUCUCUCUCUCUCUCUCUCUUUCUCUCUCAUGUCAUAUACAGAAACAGAACUGUGUUAGAUUUGUGAAGAUCUUGAGUCACUUUCCUGUCUCUGACUCUCAUGAUGACAAUGACCUCUCUCCUUCUUUUCGCAUAACAACACAGUUCCCUCAUUUUAGUCCUUACUUGCAUCAUUUAUUAUCUUCUCCCUCAUUUAGUUUUUUGCCUGCACACUUCAUUUUUCUUUUGUCUUUUUGCUGUAUAAUUGUUCGCUCCCUCCCUCUCUCCGCUCAAGUAGCUAUGCGUAAUGGGUUUGUGCUUAUGGACUUGGAUACCAAAAACAAAAAUCUCUCCCUAUAGAAAGUUGCUGAAAAAGAUCAUAUCAGACAUGAUUUUACUCAGUUUCCAUAUAUCGUCGGUUUGAGUUCAGUUCAUCUCAACAGUUGGGUGUAUUAGCAGGAGGGUUCUUUCCUGGAGGUAAGAUUUUUCCUAUCUUUUUGUCUUCGGAAAUCUGUCCCCCUUUCGGUCCAAUAAUAAAAAACGUUAAUCUGCUAAGUACAUCAAUAAAAUAACUUCACACAUGUUGGCUUGCGCCAAAUGAUGAAACCAGUGAAGUAGUACUAGGUCUCGAAUCGCCAGUUCCAAGUGCGUGGUGGGUUUUCAUUUUCUUGGAUAUAUUGUCAUUGAAGGGUUCGUAGAGACUAUUGAGUAUGAUUGAUGUAGAGACUCUUUUUGCUGAUCGCGAGUAUUCAUUGUUAGUCAAAUUAUGCAGUGUUUCCUUACCGUCUUUGCCUUGAACACUGACUCUCUGUUUGAUACUUCUCCAUGUUACCUAGUGGUGCUAAUGCAUGCGUGGAUGUUAAUAUAUUACUGAGUGAUGUUGGCUUGCUAUAUAUGCACAUACAUUUGCAGGCUCGGGCCAAAAGCAAAACGCUAGAAAAUCUGAGUGAUGUUGGCUUCAAAAAGAUUUGUGAGAGAGAGCUUUCUUCAGUCCACUCAUGGAUGGAAUAAAGGGGGUUGAAAUAGCUGCCGACUCAUUCAUUCAAUCACACAGUAGAGAAAAUGGGGCAAAUUAGUUUGUGCUUUUACUGGUGACUGUGUGAAUGAUGCGGGAGAUACUUUGCACCCCUCUUUUUCUGUGCUUGGACUGAAGGGAGCUCCUUCUCUCUCUUCUCUCUGCGAGUGCGUGUGUAGGUGUGGCCAAAUAGAGAAACCUAAUGCUAUCUCUGUUGUCAUUGUUGGAAGUUUCUUUCCAUGAAAAUCGAUCUAUUUGUUGCAUGCAAUGUGUACUCAGAACUACUGGUAAGAAACUUUUGAAAGUGACCGGUUCACGAGGAUGGAGGGAAUGACCGUAGCUAGAAGCAAUGGCCGGUGGUGGGAGCUGAUGGCCAAUAGCAAGUGACCGGUGGAGAUGGAGAUGGCUGCCCUUUGGUUGAUGCCUUAUCAUUUUAACUUGGCUUUUCUUAAUGUACAAGUGCACUGUAGCCUUUGUUACAUCGAUUAAUUCAUCUUCUCUUAUGUGAAAAAGCUGUAAUAUGUUUAUUUUGUCCUUCUCUGCAACACUUGUAAAUAGGGCCGGCCUUAAAUUGUACGCUGAAGCAAAGGAAGAAAAGAACUGGCAAGCCAAUGUGCCCGUGGGAGUUUACAUGCUCUUGAAGACUGAGAGCGAGAAGGACAAAUUUGCACAAAGAAGCUCUUCUUUCUGAUGUUUGCUUUGCAAAGUUGCUGCUAAAGCAUUGCUUUUAAGCAUCAAAUGUUGCUGAAGGCAAGAGUAAACGGAUUAAGCUGUCUUUUUCGAGAAUUAGCAUGAAGUGAUUACCUUCUGUGAUUGCUGAGUAUGAGAAAGUCUCAGAUGUAGUUUCCUAUCA
Long non-coding RNA from Syzygium oleosum, 2151 nucleotides. RefSeq lists it as uncharacterized. The transcript has 2 exons. NCBI's taxonomy places the organism in Eukaryota, Viridiplantae, Streptophyta, Magnoliopsida, Myrtales, Myrtaceae. The record is from RefSeq and is a predicted model, not a curated record.